This is a long non-coding RNA of Dermacentor albipictus, 1602 nucleotides long. RefSeq lists it as uncharacterized. The record is from RefSeq and is a predicted model, not a curated record. Lineage: Eukaryota; Metazoa; Arthropoda; Arachnida; Ixodida; Ixodidae.
UUCGUCGGAGAGACUUUCUCGCGUGUGCUGCGCUCGUGCUGAGUCAGUCGUGACGUAUUAUUUCUCGCGCCUUACGGCGCUCUACCUUCAAAUAAUAUCACUGAUUUUCCCGAGGGAACAGUGGGGGCCUAGUAGAGACCGGGCUUGCUCUCUUGGAGCAGUAUCUUCGCGCAUGCCCGGCUCUUUUGUUGUUUCCGGUGUACAAUCUGUUUCGCACUUAGGGGAAAACUCGGAGCGCCUUGCAUCGCGAUGCGGCGAGCGCUUGAGUCAGGCGACGGCAGCAGCGCGCGCAGGCGUAGGUGCUCGAGUGGCGGGGUCUUGAGCGGCGUCGUCUGCUACGGCGACGCGCGCUGGCCGCAUUGUCAGGAAGCGUGCUACUGUCAGGGGCAGUGCGCCGAUGUCAUCGUUACUGCGUGAAAUGAGCCGGUAUUCUUUACUAAGCGUUGUGCGACGCCCCCUGAUGCACCUCGAUGACAAUCAGGGACGCCAUUUCAGACCCAGCAAAUUUGGAUGUCAGCAGAAUAAAAGUCUUGCUGGAGGAAACGCUGGAAGCUCGGCGGAAAAGCCCGGAGAAUGAACUUCCUGUGUACUUUCUAAACCCAGACGUGCUUGCACUUGAGGCCAAACUGAGGUUUGAAGCUUCUUAUGAAGACAUGCUAGCCAAGCUUCAACAUAUUCGAAAGAUGCUGGUUCGAACGAGCUUCAUCGAGAUUGACGAGUACCUUCGGCCAAGAAAAGCUGAAUUUGCCCUGAUCUCAUUGGAGACACAUGAACGAGGUGUGCCUAUUCCUGGCCCUUGUAUCAUCGCCCAAGAUGGACACAAAGUCGUCUGCAAGGGCAACACCAUUGAUCUGGCUGCGGGAUCAUCACUCGAGCAUGCUCUAAUCAUUUGCGUAACACUUUAUUUUAUCUUGGAUAUCACGUACCCAAAUGCAUUUGGUCAUUUUUUGGGUUUGGUCCAGACAGCAUUAGCUAAGAGGGAGCCUUUUCCACGCUGCUUGAUGUCACACAAACUUACGCUGUGUUUAAAACAGUUGAAACAUCCUGCAAGAACUCGUUAGCAGAUGAGAUGCUGUAUGUAAGAUCUCCUUUUUUCUUUGAGCACAAACAAUGCAAAGAGGUAGCAGUGACUCACAGAAACCUACAAACUAAAGGACAGCUUUUGGGUUUGGUAGUUCUAAAAACGCAUUGCUUAAAGUUGUGGCCAGUCAUAACAGCUUUGCUUUAAACAUGUACACGCAUCGUCACCACAUUUAGGGCAACUGUUUAUUGGUCUAUUUUCUUUUUUGACUUUGGGCGACAAAUGAUAGGUGUAAUUUUUUGCAAGUGUAUGCGGCAUACUCAAAGCGAUACUGUUGCACUUUGUAGAAAAAUGCGUGUUGCUACAGUGAGGCAUAACAACACUUAUGAGGCUUGCAUUAAAAACAUUACUCUUUCUAGAUUAAAAAAGAAAAUAGCUGUCAUAUCAGCAAAUUUGCAGUAAGUGUCAUUUUCCAAGCUCGUAGCUAAACAUUGAUAUUCGCAGUUAUUUGUUUUGCGUACGUUGUAAUGGCAAAAUUGCAGCCAUCCACCAAUUAUGACCUUUCCACUUAUUAGGAAUUG